RNAcentral lists this ribosomal RNA (253 nucleotides) under uncultured bacterium. RNAcentral's name for it is "partial 16S ribosomal RNA". It matches the Rfam family "Bacterial small subunit ribosomal RNA", at positions 524 to 776 of the family's 1533-position model. The record is from RNAcentral.
UACGUAGGGGGCGAGCGUUGUCCGGAGUUACUGGGCGUAAAGCGCACGCAGGCGGUCUGUUAAGUUUGGAGUGACAGUUGGUGGCUUAACUGCCAAAGUGCUUCGAAAACUGACAGACUUGAGGGCUUCAGAGGGACACGGAAUUCCGGGUGGAGUGGUGAAAUGCGUAGAGAUCCGGAGGAACACCUGCGGUGUAGACGGCUUUCUGGACCAUUGCUGACGCUGAGACACGAAAGCGUGGGUAGCAAACAGG